RNAcentral lists this ribosomal RNA (253 nucleotides) under uncultured bacterium. Its description in RNAcentral is "partial 16S ribosomal RNA". It matches the Rfam family "Bacterial small subunit ribosomal RNA", at positions 524 to 776 of the family's 1533-position model. The record is from RNAcentral.
UACGUAGGGUGCGAGCGUUAAUCGGAAUUACUGGGCGUAAAGCGUGCGCAGGCGGUUCGUCGUGUCCGAUGUGAAAGCCCCGGGCUCAACCUGGGAAUGGCAUUGGAAACUGGCGGACUCGAGUGUGGCAGAGGGGGGUGGAAUUCCGCGUGUAGCAGUGAAAUGCGUAGAGAUCGGGAGGAACAUCAGUGGCGAAGGCGGCCAUCUGGGACAACACUGACGCUGAGGCACGAAAGCGUGGGGAGCAAACAGG